Molecule: ribosomal RNA, 253 nt
Filed under: uncultured bacterium
Lineage: Bacteria
Description: partial 16S ribosomal RNA
Rfam family: Bacterial small subunit ribosomal RNA
Source: RNAcentral
UACAGAGGGGGCAAGCGUUGUUCGGAAUUACUGGGCGUAAAGGGCGCGUAGGCGGCCUGCUAAGUCGAACGUGAAAUCCCUGGGCUCAACCCAGGAACUGCGUCCGAUACUGGAUGGCUUGAGUUCGGGAGAGGGAUGCGGAAUUCCAGGUGUAGCGGUGAAAUGCGUAGAUAUCUGGAGGAACACCGGUGGCGAAGGCGGCAUCCUGGACCGACACUGACACUGAGGAGCGAAAGCCAGGGGAGCAAACAGG